GGGGAGAUGGCAGAGCGGCCGAAUGCGGCGGUCUUGAAAACCGUUGGGCGCUUGCGCGUCCCGAGGGUUCGAAUCCCUCUCUCCCCGCCA
RNAcentral lists this transfer RNA (90 nucleotides) under Coriobacteriaceae bacterium. Its description in RNAcentral is "tRNA-Ser". It matches the Rfam family "tRNA". From Rfam's summary of the family: Transfer RNA (tRNA) molecules are approximately 80 nucleotides in length. Their secondary structure includes four short double-helical elements and three loops (D, anti-codon, and T loops). Lineage: Bacteria; Bacillati; Actinomycetota; Coriobacteriia; Coriobacteriales; Coriobacteriaceae. RNAcentral also lists the same sequence under 4 other names. The record is from RNAcentral.